UGUGGAAUUAAUUUUCGAUACAUAUUCUCAAAGAGUUGAGAAUUAGAGAUAUGUAUUUAAUUCUUAAAUACUUUCAGUCAUAGGAUCAUCAUGAAGAUGGUGAUCGAUUCGGAUAAACUGGGAUACAGAUCACUUCCUUUGGAUAGAUGGAUCUUUAGUCUACAAUAUAGAGAUACUGGAUGAGAAGUGCAGGUAGUUGUUAGAGAAUAACUAGUACUGAGCAUGAUCAUAUGAGAGAUCACUUG
RNAcentral lists this long non-coding RNA (245 nucleotides) under Elaeis guineensis (African oil palm). RNAcentral's name for it is "long non-coding RNA (EGUI_LNC074293)". Lineage: Eukaryota; Viridiplantae; Streptophyta; Magnoliopsida; Arecales; Arecaceae. The record is from RNAcentral.